CCGGGCUUUCUUAAAUCUAUGGCUUUAAUUACUCGGUAGAAACCAAUAUAUUAUCCUUUGCCUUGCUUUUCCCGCGCAAUAUUCACGCGUCUAUACGAAAUUACUAGCCACCUAAAAGAGCUCUCUUAACCGGCCUAAUUGCCGCUAAAAUUCCACGGCCUAAACUAUCAGAUCGAAUCACAAGGACUCAAGAUAAUUUUACUGUAACACCUCCUAGCCUUUGAAAAUAAACGCGGUAUUUUUCCCUUACAAACUGAUUAUUACUUAAAUCCUAAGAACUAUAACCUAUCUUAUUACUAAAUCUUUAUACUGAAUAUUAUAUUUUUUUUCUCGAAAUUUAUGAUUAUUAACUCUUUUUUUCUUUUCUUUUAGUUCCAAAAAAGGAGACAGCAAAUUUUAUGGACGUCACAUAUAUAUAUAAAUAUAUCUAUCAAGGACAACACAACGUUUACGCUUCUUUCCGGAGGAAACAGAUUUUGAACGCCAGGCAAACCCUGAAAUGAAGCUGGACUUGUUGACUGGUCCUUUUACAAUGCCGGCGUUCUGGGCGGGAUCAAUAACAGGCACAGCAAAAAGCUCAAAGUUGCAGCUGGCCAGUUUACAAUUCAAAUCUCCACACCCUCAAUGUAACUUUUUUUGGCUUUUUUCUCCUGUGGACAACUUGCCACUACCUUGCGUUACCAAAAAGAAAAGGCAAUUUCCCGCCGUUGUGCUGACCAAAACCGGACAAUUUUCGGUGCUUCCAAAAAAGCUUGAUACACCACCGGAAUAUUCCUGUUGGAGCAACACACAUCACAUAUAACAACACAUUACUCAACAAACCACUGUUACAAACUACUUACACAAUAAAAAAAUCGCAACACACAAAUUAAA
This is a long non-coding RNA of Musca domestica (house fly), 873 nucleotides long. RefSeq lists it as uncharacterized. The record is from RefSeq and is a predicted model, not a curated record. The transcript is spliced from 2 exons. Lineage: Eukaryota; Metazoa; Arthropoda; Insecta; Diptera; Muscidae.